RNAcentral lists this ribosomal RNA (498 nucleotides) under uncultured bacterium. RNAcentral describes it as "partial 16S ribosomal RNA". It matches the Rfam family "Bacterial small subunit ribosomal RNA", at positions 28 to 507 of the family's 1533-position model. The record is from RNAcentral.
GACGAACGCUGGCGGCGUGCCUAAUACAUGCAAGUCGAACGAGAGCGACCGGUGCUUGCACUGGUCAAUCUAGUGGCGAACGGGUGAGUAACACGUGGGUAACCUGCCCAUCAGAGGGGGAUAACAUCCGGAAACGGAUGCUAAAACCGCAUAGGUCUUCGAACCGCAUGGUUUGAAGAGGAAAAGGGGCGCAAGCUUCUGCUGAUGGAUGGACCCGCGGUGCAUUAGCUAGUUGGUGAGGUAACGGCUCACCAAGGCCGUGAUGCAUAGCCGACCUGAGAGGGUGAUCGGCCACAUUGGGACUGAGACACGGCCCAAACUCCUACGGGAGGCAGCAGUAGGGAAUCUUCCGCAAUGGACGCAAGUCUGACGGAGCAACGCCGCGUGAGUGAAGAAGGUUUUCGGAUCGUAAAACUCUGUUGUUAGAGAAGAACAAGUGCUAGAGUAACUGUUAGCGCCUUGACGGUAUCUAACCAGAAAGCCACGGCUAACUACGUG